GAUGAACGCUGGCGGCGUGCCUAAUACAUGCAAGUCGAGCGAACGGACGAGAAGCUUGCUUCUCUGAUGUUAGCGGCGGACGGGUUAGUAACACGUGGAUAACCUACCUAUAAGACUGUGAUAACUUCGGGAAACCGGAGCUAAUACCGGAUAAUAUUUUGAACCGCAUGGUUCAAAAUUGAAAGACGGUCUUGCUGUCACUUAUAGAUGGAUCCGCGCUGCAUUAGCUAGUUGGUAAGGUAACGGCUUACCAAGGCAACGAUGCAUAGCCGACCUGAGAGGGUGAACGGCAACACUGGAACUGAGACACGGUCCAGACUCAUACGGGAGGCAGAAGUAGGGAAUCUUCAGCAAUGGGAGAAAGACUGACGGAGCAACGCCGCGUGAGUGAUGAAGGUCUUCGGAUAGUAAAACUAUGUUAUUAGGGAAGAACAUAUGUGUAAGUAACUGUGCAAAUCUUGACGGUACCUAAUCAGAAAGCCAAGGAUAACUACGUG
RNAcentral lists this ribosomal RNA (497 nucleotides) under uncultured bacterium. Its description in RNAcentral is "partial 16S ribosomal RNA". It matches the Rfam family "Bacterial small subunit ribosomal RNA", at positions 28 to 507 of the family's 1533-position model. The record is from RNAcentral.